This 253-nucleotide ribosomal RNA is filed under the name uncultured bacterium. Its description in RNAcentral is "partial 16S ribosomal RNA". It matches the Rfam family "Bacterial small subunit ribosomal RNA", at positions 524 to 776 of the family's 1533-position model. The record is from RNAcentral.
UACAGAGGUCCCAAGCGUUGUUCGGAUUCAUUGGGCGUAAAGGGUGCGUAGGUGGCGCCGUAAGUGGGGUGUGAAAUUUCGGAGCUUAACUCCGAAACUGCAUUCCAUACUGCGGGGCUUGAGGACUGGAGAGGAGACUGGAAUUUACGGUGUAGCAGUGAAAUGCGUAGAGAUCGGAAGGAAGACCAGUGGCGAAGGCGGGUCUCUGGACAGUAACUGACACUGAGGCACGAAGGCCAGGGGAGCAAACGGG